UAGUCCACGCCGUAAACUAUGGAUACUAGGCGUUCGGAGUGUUAACCCUCUGAGUGCCGGAGCUCACGCAUUAAGUAUCCCGCCUGGGGAGUACGGUCGCAAGGCUAAAACUCAAAGGAAUUGACGGGGGCCCGCACAAGCGGUGGAGUAUGUGGUUUAAUUCGACGCAACGCGCAGAACCUUACCCAGACCUGACAUCCACUGACCGCUAUAGAGAUAUAGUUUUCCCUUCGGGGACAGUGAGACAGGUGCUGCAUGGCUGUCGUCAGCUCGUGUUGUGAAAUGUUCGGUUAAGUCCGGCAACGAGCGCAACCCUUGUCCUUAUUUGCCAGCACAUAAUGGUGGGAACUCUAAGGAGACUGACGGUGACAAACCGUAGGAAGGUGGGGACGACGUCAAGUCAUCAUGGCCCUUACGGGGUGGGCUACAAACGUGCUACAAUGGUCGGUACAAAGGGCGGCGAACCAGCAAUGGUAAGCGAAUCCCAAAAACCGAUCGUAGUCCGGAUUGGGGUCUGCAACUCGACCCCA
Molecule: ribosomal RNA, 530 nt
Filed under: uncultured bacterium
Lineage: Bacteria
Description: bacterial SSU rRNA
Rfam family: Bacterial small subunit ribosomal RNA
Source: RNAcentral